GCUAAGCUGGCCAAACAUACACCCCUCAGACACCAUUAAUACCGACUCUGACUACAAAAGCUAACAGAGCUGUCGGAUUUGUAUCACCAAAAUAUUCCGUUUUGUACGAGAAAAUGGGCAGCGGUGAAGUUUGUGAGAUUUGGCCGUCCAUCAUGGCGGACAGGAAAUAACAGAACAAGCUUAAGCUAAGAGCAGGAACAUUCCACAGGAGCCGGUUCAUGUUGCUGUGGCAGCAACGGGGUAGAGCUAACAUGCUAUUCUUGGUCUCUGAUGGACGCAUCCCCCUUAAAACGGCCCAAACUGAGAGAUGGAGCAGCCAGUGCUGUGGAUGGUGAGUCAGGGAACGAAGAGAUCAGCCCAUCUUCCCCUGACAAGACACAACACCCAUCUUUAACAUAACCUCAUCAAACCUCAGGCAGCCGUGCCAACUUACAAGGGCGAGUGCAGAUUAAGAGGCAUGUGUCAACAAUGUACUGUUGUACUCUUUUACAAGGGCUUGAAUGGAGGCCCAAGGAGGUCCCAGACAUUUCCAUUACACUGUUAAAUGCGCCUGCAGCGAUUGUAGUAUAUAGUUUGGGAACCCCCUAAAUGAACAGCAUAUCUAAUCAAAACAAACUAAGAAAGUUUGGAAGCCUUGUAAAGGCUUUUGUUGUGUUGAAAUGAAUGUACUUACUAAAAGGAACGAUUGUGAUGUUAAUUUUGUUUUUUAAAGCUUCGGGAAUGCUUAUAAGCGUGGCUGACAUCUUGUAAAUGCAUUUUUUCCCUAGCCCAGAUUGACUUGCAAUUAGUUGUGAGCAGGGUUAUUAUAGUUUAGAAUUUUUAAUUUAGUUUUUAUUUUAUUAUUCAUUUUAGUUUUAGUUUUUUUCUGAGUUUUCUAGUUUAGAUGUUACUUUAUUUUUUAUUUAUGAGUCAACAUCUGUUAAGGCCUAAUUAAAUGUAACAAAUCAUGUAAAAAUGAAACUAUUUUAUCAAACUUUGAUAAUUGCCUUAAUCUUUUAAACAACUAAGAAGAUAGUGAUCAAACUACAUUUUAUAAAAAUCACUUAAGUUUAUAAUACAUAUUACACCAGCAUGCACAUUGGAUGACUAUAGGGACUCAUCUUAAGAUCACCUAUUUAUCAGUUCAUCUAUUGCCAAAAGUCUGAAAAAAAAAAGACAGUCAGUAAUAGUUGGUGCAAAAAAUGCCUGUCAAAACCAACACAUGUUGAACGAUGUUCACUAGCCUGGCAAAGCUUUUCAAUUAGAUUGGCGUUUAUUCUCUUUAGCGUGCAGUGUGAAGUAUUUCACUGAGUUAAUUCCAACUCAAUUCAACAGAUUUAUACUCACGUGCGUUAUGUAUUAUGCAUGUUAUCAUCUCUGACAGAUGGCAUGUUGAUGCCGCCAUUUUCUCCCUCUUCUCAGAAAGCGAUGACUCAUUCAAAACAUCCGGUACUGUGGACUCCCUGGACCUCUGCUUCACAUCUGGAAAACACCCCACGCCCAUGAGGGACAUCGUCAACACAUCUAUCGGUCAAAAACAUGUUAUACAGUAGUUAAAUGGCCUGACUAACCACUCUCAGCAACUAAGGGGUUGUAAAUAUGUAUAUAGCCUCAGGUGCUUUUUGUCUGUUUUUCUUUACAAUUUAAUGAUGCAGAUUAAGGUGCAAUAAGAUUAGUCUUGAUGAAUGUUUGAAUAGACUUGAUCCAGGUAAUUGUGCUGCUAAAAACUUGGUUGAAAAAUGACUUUGUCACUGUAGUUUUGGUCUAAUGUGAGCUAAUCGAUUGUAUUGUGUGUAAAAUGACAGUUGAACCUCUAAACCUAGAUGGCUGAAGUCAUAACUAGGCAGUAAAAGCUGGACAGGAAGGAAGCAAUGUCCGAAAUGGCGCCUCAUUUCUUGUUUAAAGGUUAUUGCACCACCACCCACUGCUGAUAUGAUCUUAGCUGUUAGAUUCUUGAGCCACUGGUUUGACUGGAGGCUUGUUACCUGUAAAAUAGUCACAGCCCAAGAGAAGAUGGUACGCUUUUGCCAUUAUGACCUGAUGGCAGGUCUGUCAAGUGGCUUCCUGAGUUUAUUGUGGCUUUUUACUAUUCAGUUCAUUAUUAUUGAACCUGUAGAGUGAUUUGUGCAAUAUUCCAAUCCUCACUAAGCGAGACUGUAAAUUGAAAUUUCAAUGCAUCUAAAAAGAAAAAGUAGGUAGGGCUCAAAAAGUCGGUUUUCUGGAGUUAAGAUUUUUGUAUUUGUCCUGCCAACAUUUUUACUGGC
Molecule: long non-coding RNA, 2243 nt
Organism: Megalobrama amblycephala (Wuchang bream)
Lineage: Eukaryota; Metazoa; Chordata; Actinopteri; Cypriniformes; Xenocyprididae
Exons: 3
Source: RefSeq, a predicted model, not a curated record